Molecule: transfer RNA, 57 nt
Filed under: Candidatus Peribacter riflensis
Lineage: Bacteria; Candidatus Peregrinibacteriota; Candidatus Peribacteria; Candidatus Peribacterales
Description: tRNA-Ser
Rfam family: tRNA
About the family: Transfer RNA (tRNA) molecules are approximately 80 nucleotides in length.
Source: RNAcentral
UAGAACGCUUGCAUGGGGUGCAAGAGGUCGCUGGUUCGAGUCCAGUCGCCCCGACCA